UGGGGAAUUUUGGACAAUGGGCGAAAGCCUGAUCCAGCAAUGCCGCGUGUGUGAAGAAGGCCUUCGGGUUGUAAAGCACUUUUGUCCGGAAAGAAAUCCUUGGCUCUAAUACAGUCGGGGGAUGACGGUACCGGAAGAAUAAGCACCGGCUAACUACGUGCCAGCAGCCGCGGUAAUACGUAGGGUGCAAGCGUUAAUCGGAAUUACUGGGCGUAAAGCGUGCGCAGGCGGUUUGCUAAGACCGAUGUGAAAUCCCCGGGCUCAACCUGGGAACUGCAUUGGUGACUGGCAGGCUAGAGUAUGGCAGAGGGGGGUAGAAUUCCACGUGUAGCAGUGAAAUGCGUAGAGAUGUGGAGGAAUACCGAUGGCGAAGGCAGCCCCCUGGGCCAAUACUGACGCUCAUGCACGAAAGCGUGGGGAGCAAACAGGAUUAGAUACCCUGGUAGUCCACGCCCUAAACGAUGUCAACUAGUUGUUGGGGAUUCAUUUCCUUAGUAACGUAGCUAACGCGUGAAGUUGACCACCUGGGGAGUACGGUCGCAAGAUUAAAACUUAAAUGAAUUGACGGGGUCAUAGCUG
This 579-nucleotide ribosomal RNA is filed under the name uncultured bacterium. RNAcentral's name for it is "partial 16S ribosomal RNA". It matches the Rfam family "Bacterial small subunit ribosomal RNA", at positions 355 to 932 of the family's 1533-position model. The record is from RNAcentral.